This 1450-nucleotide ribosomal RNA is filed under the name uncultured organism. RNAcentral describes it as "SSU rRNA". It matches the Rfam family "Bacterial small subunit ribosomal RNA". The record is from RNAcentral.
GAUGAACGCUAGCUACAGGCUUAACACAUGCAAGUCGAGGGGCAGCAUGGUCUUAGCUUGCUAAGGCCGAUGGCGACCGGCGCACGGGUGAGUAACACGUAUCCAACCUGCCGUCUACUCUUGGACAGCCUUCUGAAAGGAAGAUUAAUACAAGAUGGCAUCAUGAGUCCACAUGUUCACAUGAUUAAAGGUAUUCCGGUAGACGAUGGGGAUGCGUUCCAUUAGAUAGUAGGCGGGGUAACGGCCCACCUAGUCUUCGAUGGAUAGGGGUUCUGAGAGGAAGGUCCCCCACAUUGGAACUGAGACACGGUCCAAACUCCUACGGGAGGCAGCAGUGAGGAAUAUUGGUCAAUGGGCGAGAGCCUGAACCAGCCAAGUAGCGUGAAGGAUGACUGCCCUAUGGGUUGUAAACUUCUUUUAUAAAGGAAUAAAGUCGGGUAUGCAUACCCGUUUGCAUGUACUUUAUGAAUAAGGAUCGGCUAACUCCGUGCCAGCAGCCGCGGUAAUACGGAGGAUCCGAGCGUUAUCCGGAUUUAUUGGGUUUAAAGGGAGCGUAGAUGGAUGUUUAAGUCAGUUGUGAAAGUUUGCGGCUCAACCGUAAAAUUGCAGCUGAUACUGGAUAUCUUGAGUGCAGUUGAGGCAGGCGGAAUUCGUGGUGUAGCGGUGAAAUGCUUAGAUAUCACGAAGAACUCCGAUUGCGAAGGCGGCCUGCUAAGCUGCAACUGACAUUGAGGCUCGAAAGUGUGGGUAUCAAACAGGAUUAGAUACCCUGGUAGUCCACACGGUAAACGAUGAAUACUCGCUGUUUGCGAUAUACUGCAAGCGGCCAAGCGAAAGCGUUAAGUAUUCCACCUGGGGAGUACGCCGGCAACGGUGAAACUCAAAGGAAUUGACGGGGGCCCGCACAAGCGGAGGAACAUGUGGUUUAAUUCGAUGAUACGCGAGGAACCUUACCCGGGCUUAAAUUGCAGAUGAAUUACGGUGAAAGCCGUAAGCCGCAAGGCAUCUGUGAAGGUGCUGCAUGGUUGUCGUCAGCUCGUGCCGUGAGGUGUCGGCUUAAGUGCCAUAACGAGCGCAACCCUUGUUGUCAGUUACUAACAGGUUCCGCUGAGGACUCUGACAAGACUGCCAUCGUAAGAUGUGAGGAAGGUGGGGAUGACGUCAAAUCAGCACGGCCCUUACGUCCGGGGCUACACACGUGUUACAAUGGGGGGUACAGAGGGCCGCUACCACGCGAGUGGAUGCCAAUCCCCAAAACCUCUCUCAGUUCGGACUGGAGUCUGCAACCCGACUCCACGAAGCUGGAUUCGCUAGUAAUCGCGCAUCAGCCACGGCGCGGUGAAUACGUUCCCGGGCCUUGUACACACCGCCCGUCAAGCCAUGGGAGCCGGGGGUACCUGAAGUGCGUAACCGCGAGGAGCGCCCUAGGGUAAAACUGGUGACUGGGGCU